This is an RNA transcript of Glycine soja, 2899 nucleotides long. It is a transcript of the gene named RING finger protein B-like, with no coding region annotated. NCBI's taxonomy places the organism in Eukaryota, Viridiplantae, Streptophyta, Magnoliopsida, Fabales, Fabaceae. The transcript is spliced from 13 exons. The record is from RefSeq and is a predicted model, not a curated record.
CCCCCCUCUCUCUUUAGAUUUUUUUACUGGCCUCAGCUUUAUUAGCCAAACAAAAAAAAACCAGUUUCACUGUCUCUCUCUCAUUUGAUUUGACACUUUUAUAAUUUUUCCCCAUUCGCAUGUAUGUCGUCUCCCUCUGUUUUCAUCUCACCCUCGCCCCCACCCAGUUGUUUCUUCUUCCCCAUAUUUUUUUCGAAUUAAAAAAUUCAGAAAAAUCCCUUUUUUAAAAUUAUAGUAUUCUAAUUGGGGUGGUUAGCAAGAAAUUGAUUUCUUGCAUUAUCGAAAAUGAGGUGGGAAAAGGUUGAGGUGAAGGCGAUAGGCACAACAACAAAGGGUGGUGGAGGGCCAGGGAAGAGGUGGGGUCACACCUGCAACGCCGUCAAAAGUGGCAGACUUGUCUAUGUAUUUGGUGGUUACGGCAAAGAUAACUGUCAGACCAACCAAGUUCAUGUCUUCGACACUGUGAAGCAGGCAUGGAGCCAACCCGCUUUAAAAGGCUCCCCACCUACACCUAGGGACAGCCAUACAUGCACAGCCGUUGGUGAUAAUCUGUUUGUGUUUGGGGGUACAGAUGGAAUGAACCCUCUCAAGGAUUUGCACAUAUUAGACACUUCUUUGCAAACAUGGGUUUCUCCAACCAUAAGAGGAGAAGGACCACCAGCACGUGAGGGUCAUAGUGCAGCAGUUGUUGGCAAACGACUAUACAUCUUUGGAGGUUGUGGAAAAUCUGCAGAUAAUAAUAAUGAGCUCUACUACAAUGAUCUUUACAUAUUAAAUACAGAGACAUUUGUUUGGAAGUGUGCUACAACGUCAGGCACUCCACCAUCUCCUCGUGAUAGCCACAGUUGUUCAUCUUGGAAAAACAAAAUUAUUGUGAUAGGGGGUGAAGAUGGGCAUGAUUAUUAUUUGUCUGACAUCCACAUUCUUGAUACUGAUACUCUAAUUUGGAGGGAGCUGAGUACAUCUGGCCAAUUGUUGCCACCUCGAGCUGGUCAUUCCACUGUUUCUUUUGGCAAGAACUUGUUUGUUUUUGGUGGAUUUACAGAUGCCCAAAAUCUUUAUAAUGACCUUUAUAUGCUCGAUAUUGAUACUGGUGUUUGGACAAAUGUUACAACUGCAACAAAUGGUCCUUCUGCUAGAUUUUCUGUGGCUGGUGACUGUUUAGACCCUUUUAGGAGUGGUGUUCUUAUAUUCAUCGGUGGUUGUAAUAAAAGUCUUGAGGCCCUGGAUGAUAUGUAUUACCUAUAUACAGGGAUUGCACGGGAAAGUGAACAGAGACCAGAAAAAUUAUCUUUAAAGAAGCAAUUGAAACUGAAAUGCCUAGAACAAAAUCCCAAUCCUAGCCAAAAUCAAGUUCUCGUUAGAUAUGGAGUGGGUUCUGAUGUGGGACAGAUCAUGACAGUGUUGAAUUAUAGCCAAUCAAGUAGAGUAAAUAUCCCAGUAAACCAAUCCCCACCUCCCGGAAAAAAAAUGUUUGAAGCCAAGGUUACUGAAAAUAUCUCAGAAGGAUAUACUAUUGAAACUGUUAUUGAUGGAAAACCUCUUCGUGGAAUUCUGUUUUUAAACAAGCCUAACUCUCUGUACUCAGGUGCUCAUACUUGCAGUAGGAAAAGGACUGUCGGUGAAAUUGAUAGUGUUGUCUCAAAUGGUAUACAUUCUAACCAAUUAAAGACUCCUAAAGUGGUCAAGCAAAAUCAAAUGGAAAACCGAGAAGCAUCUCGUGGAGACUGUUCCGAAUGUCAUGAACACCGCACCGAAUCCAUUGCUGUGCUUAUGUCAAGUAACCCAAUGACUGCCAAUCCUUCUGAUACCCAUAAGGUUUCUGCCAACCCAGAACCAGAAGCUGCGGCUUUGAAUCGAAAUGAUGAAAAACAUGAAACACCUAAAUCUUUAAUUGGAAACUUGACAAAUGAUGGAGCAAAUGAUGUGACAAGUUCCCAAGGUGAGGUGCAAACAAGUGAUCAAACAAAUGUGCUAAUUUCCAACUUUGAAGUUCCAAGAGACAAUAAAACAAGUGAUGCUCCAAACUACAACACUGAAUUUCUGAAACCUGCUGCAGCUGAGAGCGCUUUGCAUCUGUCAAAUCAAGAUAGAGCUGAUUUUCAAGGUCUCGGAAAGAGUUACCUAUGGAGGGUUCUGACCGGUGAAGGAUUCUGACCAACAAGAAUGUUAAGGGAAGUGUCAUCGUGUGAGAUGCCGUAGUGUGAAAGCCGCUGAGCAGUCGAAAAUCAGGGAUGUUACAAUCAGACCAAUGACUAAAUCACUAUUGGACUUGCAACGAUCUGUCAAAACAGGCCAGCUUGAUCCACUUGGGCCAAGCUGUUUUCAGGCAGCUCCAAUUUGGUGUAGUUUCAGUGGCGGAUUCCGCAACUCCACAACUCCACAACUCCACAACUCCAACGACAAGAGAAUGCAGUGAAUCAGCAAAAUUAAUUUGAGCUCAGGAGAUAACGGCUGAUGGUGAUAACUGUCUGCUAGGCAUUUGUACAUUCCUCUUCUCAAGUCGAUCAUAGAGUUCAAUAUAACUGGUGAUAUAUAGGCUAACGUGCUCCACUGGUGGGUUAUACAAUCAUUUACUUACUGUCAUCCUUUAGUCUGAAAUUUUAAUUGAACAAAACCAUGAUUAAGUUUAGGCGUAGGUAGUGAUAGAAGCAGUUCUAUUUUAUUGCGUUAUGUUCAUUCCAGUCUUCAUUUAUUGCAUGGAAAGAAAAUUUUGUUUUAUUGGUGCCUGGGUAUCAGUAUUGUUUCCAAAUGCAGUUUAACCUAUUAAAUUCCAAAGCUCUUUGUAGGGUUUCACAAAGUGUAGGAUUUGAUGUUAUCUUGAAGGAUUCGAGAAGAAGGAUGUUCCAUUUAAUUUCUGUGUGCUCUUAGUGCUUGGAAAUACAUUUUUUUUGUCCUA